AUUGAACGCUGGCGGCAUGCUUUACACAUGCAAGUCGAACGGUAACAGGCCGCAAGGUGCUGACGAGUGGCGAACGGGUGAGUAAUGCAUCGGAACGUGCCCAGUCGUGGGGGAUAACGCAGCGAAAGCUGUGCUAAUACCGCAUACGAUCUAUGGAUGAAAGCGGGGGACCGUAAGGCCUCGCGCGAUUGGAGCGGCCGAUGUCAGAUUAGCUAGUUGGUGGGGUAAAGGCCCACCAAGGCGACGAUCUGUAGCUGGUCUGAGAGGACGACCAGCCACACUGGGACUGAGACACGGCCCAGACUCCUACGGGAGGCAGCAGUGGGGAAUUUUGGACAAUGGGCGCAAGCCUGAUCCAGCAAUGCCGCGUGCAGGAAGAAGGCCUUCGGGUUGUAAACUGCUUUUGUACGGAACGAAACGGUCUGGGUUAAUACCUCGGGCUAAUGACGGUACCGUAAGAAUAAGCACCGGCUAACUACGUGC
RNAcentral lists this ribosomal RNA (483 nucleotides) under Hydrogenophaga sp. enrichment culture clone C1_C5. RNAcentral's name for it is "bacterial SSU rRNA". It matches the Rfam family "Bacterial small subunit ribosomal RNA", at positions 30 to 508 of the family's 1533-position model. Lineage: Bacteria; Pseudomonadati; Pseudomonadota; Betaproteobacteria; Burkholderiales; Comamonadaceae. The record is from RNAcentral.